RNAcentral lists this ribosomal RNA (460 nucleotides) under uncultured bacterium. Its description in RNAcentral is "partial 16S ribosomal RNA". It matches the Rfam family "Bacterial small subunit ribosomal RNA", at positions 338 to 795 of the family's 1533-position model. The record is from RNAcentral.
CCUACGGGAGGCAGCAGUGAGGAAUAUUGGUCAAUGGACGAGAGUCUGAACCAGCCAAGUAGCGUGAAGGAUGACUGCCCUAUGGGUUGUAAACUUCUUUUAUAUGGGAAUAAAAUGUUCCACGUGUGGGCUUUUGUAUGUACCAUAUGAAUAAGGAUCGGCUAACUCCGUGCCAGCAGCCGCGGUAAUACGGAGGAUCCGAGCGUUAUCCGGAUUUAUUGGGUUUAAAGGGAGCGUAGGUGGAUUGUUAAGUCAGUUGUGAAAGUUUGCGGCUCAACCGUAAAAUUGCAGUUGAAACUGGCAGUCUUGAGUACAGUAGAGGUGGGCGGAAUUCGUGGUGUAGCGGUGAAAUGCUUAGAUAUCACGAAGAACUCCGAUUGCGAAGGCAGCUCACUGGACUGCAACUGACACUGAGGCUUGAAAGUGUGGGUAUCAAACAGGAUUAGAUACCCUAGUAGUC